UCGCACAAGCAGGCAAGCCAAGUUCUGAUACAAACAAGUGCAGACGAAGUAACACGAAUAUCUCCGGUAGUCAGUCUAUUUCCAUCAGCCGGCCGGUGGGAGCGAGAAGUAUGGGAUAUGUCUGGUGUUUCUUCCAUCAAUCAUCCGGAUUUACGCCGUAUAUCAACAGAUUACGGUUUCAAGGGUCAUCCAUUACGAAAGGACUUUCCUCUGAGUGGAUAUGUGGAAGUACGCUAUGAUGAUUCAGAGAAACGUGUGGUUUCUGAACCCAUUGAGAUGACCCAAGAAUUUCGCUAUUUCGAUUUUGCUUGUCCUUGGGAACAGCGUCGUGAUGGAUAA
Molecule: ribosomal RNA, 339 nt
Filed under: Triticum aestivum (bread wheat)
Lineage: Eukaryota; Viridiplantae; Streptophyta; Magnoliopsida; Poales; Poaceae
Description: partial small subunit ribosomal RNA
Source: RNAcentral